RNAcentral lists this ribosomal RNA (492 nucleotides) under uncultured bacterium. RNAcentral's name for it is "partial 16S ribosomal RNA". It matches the Rfam family "Bacterial small subunit ribosomal RNA", at positions 29 to 507 of the family's 1533-position model. The record is from RNAcentral.
AGUGAACGCUGGCGGUAGGCCUAACACAUGCAAGUCGAACGGCAGCACAGUAAGAGCUUGCUCUUACGGGUGGCGAGUGGCGGACGGGUGAGCAAUACAUCGGAAUCUACUUUUUCGUGGGGGAUAACGUAGGGAAACUUACGCUAAUACCGCAUACGACCUACGGGUGAAAGCAGGGGAUCUUCGGACCUUGCGCGAUUGAAUGAGCCGAUGUCGGAUUAGCUAGUUGGCGGGGUAAAGGCCCACCAAGGCGACGAUCCGUAGCUGGUCUGAGAGGAUGAUCAGCCACACUGGAACUGAAACACGGUCCAGACUCCUACGGGAGGCAGCAGUGGGGAAUAUUGGACAAUGGGCGCAAGCCUGAUCCAGCCAUACCGCGUGGGUGAAGAAGGCCUUCGGGUUGUAAAGCCCUUUUGUUGGGAAAGAAAAGCAGCAGGUUAAUACCCCGCUGUUCUGACGGUACCCAAAGAAUAAGCACCGGCUAACUUCGUG